GCGAGGGCCGCGGGGCCGGGUCCGCGCGGCGCGGCGAUGAUGAACAGGUUCCGAAAGUGGCUGUACAAACCCAAGAGGUCGGACCCGCAGCUGCUCGCCCAGUUCUACUAUGCGGACGAGGAGCUGAACCAGGUGGCCGCUGAGCUGGACAGUCUGGACGGGCGGAAGGACCCCCAGCGGUGCACACUGCUUGUCAGCCAGUUCCGCUCUUGCCAGGACAACGUAUUAAACAUCAUUAACCAGAUCAUGGACGUGUGCAUUCCCCAGGACCGGGCCCCGCGGGAUUUCUGCGUCAAGUUCCCUGAGGAAAUCCGACACGACAACCUGGCAGGCCAGCUGUGGUUCGGUGCUGAGUGCCUGGCCGCUGGCUCCAUCAUCAUGAACCGUGAGCUGGAGAGCAUGGCCAUGCGCCCGCUGGCCAAGGAGCUGACCCGCAGCCUGGAGGACGUGCGGGGCGCCCUCCGAGACCAGGCGCUGCGCGACCUCCACACCUACACAGAGAAGAUGCGGGAGGCUCUGAGACACUUCGAUGUCCUGUUUGCUGAGUUCGAGCUGAGCUACGUCUCAGCCAUGGUGCCUGUGAAGUCCCCCAGGGAGUACUACGUGCAGCAGGAGGUCAUCGUGCUGUUCUGUGAGACCGUGGAGAGGGCCCUGGACUUCGGGUACCUGACCCAAGACAUGAUUGACGACUACGAACCGGCCCUCAUGUUCACCAUCCCCAGGUUGGCCAUCGUGUGUGGCCUCGUGGUCUAUGCAGAUGGACCUCUGAACUUGGACCGCAAGGCAGAAGACAUGUCUGAGCUAUUCCGGCCCUUCCACACGCUGCUGCGAAAAAUAAGGGACUUGCUGCAGACCCUGACAGAGGACGAGCUUCACACGCUGGAAAGGAACCUCUGCAUUUCCCAGGACGUGGAGUUCCCCAUCCGGGCAGACACCCCGGUGCCCCCCUCCCUGACACCCGCCUUUCCCUCACCCCUCCCCACCGAGGAGCUGCUCUCAGCCAAGGCCAAGACCCCGGAGGCAGAGCUGGCCUGUUCCAUGCAGUAUGACAGCCAGGAGCUAGAGCAGCUCGACCGCAUGGUCCACAGGGCAGGGGAUGAGAUGUCAUCCCUCCUCUCCCCACCCAGUGCCUGCCAGUCCCCCGCACACCGGCCAGGGGUGGAGGGUAGCCCCCGUGGGGAGGCAUCCCCAGGCAGUGCUCGGCUGCGGCAGGGCAGCGACGAGGAAGAAGGAAGGGUAUUUUUCAUGGAUGACGUGGAGGGGGCUGCUGAAGCCCCAAGAGGCCCAUCUGGGUGGGCAGGCAGUGCCCGCGCUGACCCCCAGGAGAGAGGGCCAGGCGGAGGGCACGGAGAGGCCAAGGGUAGCGGUUCCUCUGAGGCAGAGGAGGGGGACAUGAGCAAUAACAACGACGUCCCUCAUGACAAGAUGUGGGCGCUGGGUCCCAACUCUUGCAGCUGCCUGGAUGCGCAGCCGCACCUGGAUGGCUGGGAGGGGGGUGGGGACGCUGCGCAGACGGCCGAGAUGAUCGCCCACCGGACCGGGGGCAUGAAGCUCUCAGCUACUGUCAUCUUCAAUCCCAAGUCAACCCCUGCAGGGGGCUCUGCCGUCACCACCCCGGAAGCCUCUGAAGACGGCAUCUCCCUGCCGGGGCCUGUGGCCCAGGGGACACACAGUGGCUCCCACAAACUCAGUACUGCGGCCACCAGCUGCCUCCUUAACUCCUGCGUGUGCUGCGGGGCCUGCGGCGGCAGCAGGGAGGACAGCGCCGCCCAGAGUCUACAUGACAAGUGUGGCCCCAGAAGCGUCAUUAGCGCCUCUUACGUGGGCUCUGCCAAGGCCAGCGCCAAGGGCUCUGCUGAGAGAUGGGAGGAGGCCCGGCCUGUGCCGGAGGCAUUGCCCUCAGAGGAUGCCUCUACUUCCAAGUGCCUGACACACACCUCGGGGCCUCAGCUGGACACAGUGGACAGGUCACCUGGAGCGGCCAAUGGUGCAAGUCCAAAAAGGGAGCCUCAGGCUGGACCGCCAGACUCAGGGCAGCCGUCGAAGGCCAGGGUGGAAAGUCAGCAGGGAGAGGUGGCCGAGGAGGAGCCUCAGCGCCUGUCAGACUCCAGGCAGGUCUUGCUGCUGGCUGUGGGGUUGUGCCAGACUCUGCUGCUCCGGACGGUGCAAACAUCUUCUAUUUCUGAUAAAGCUGUUUUUGAGAUGCAAGCCCAGCUUCCUCGGCCAUGUCCAGAGGAAUGAACUAUUGUCACAAGCUGCUGGAUGGCUUUCUUCCUUGGGAUCCCCUGCAGAGUUGAUUAUUGCUGGUGGACACCUACUCUGUCUCCUGCUCUCCCAGCAUUUCCCACGGUGGACACUGCUCGUUCGUCACAUCACGAAGAUGACUUCCCGGGCCCUAUCCAGCUUUGCUCAAACAUUGCAGCUGAGCUGAGGAAAGGAAAGGGAAGACCCACUGUGGCCUUGAGACAGCCCCACCUUCCUGGGGAGCUUCCAGAAGGUGCAGAGGGCCUGAGGAGGGAGGAACGUGGCAGGUGGCUGGUUGUCAGGACAGUCAUGCGUCUGGGCCAAGACUUCGGACAGCGGUGGCCCCCCAUCCCACGCCAAGGGCAGCGAGAACUGGGUCAGCCAGGUGUUAGCACGUGGUGCCCAUGGUCUGCCAGCUGCAAACACAUCAGGAUCAUCACUCCCUUGGGUCAGGGUUAGAUCCCUUGGAGUGUGAUCUAACGCUAGUGCAGGCGUGACAGAGCAGGGAGACCCUUAACAUGGACAGACACAAAAGACCAGUCUCCCACAGGCGGAAAGUUUGCCGAGAUUCCAGCAUGGAGAUUCCUGGAUGUCUGGGGUGCUGCUGCCCUCACUAUGUCUAGAGGCUUCACGAUGGAGACCACAGGGCUCAAGUGCAGGGACAGGGGCUCAUUCCUCCCAUUCUGCAGACAGGGAGGCCAGUGUCCUGGAGAGGCAGCUGGCCUGUAGCUCCCUGCCUGUCUGCUGGCCCGCAGGGGCUGCCGCAGCCUCAGGGGCUGGCAAGUGGCCAGAGGAGGGAGCACCAGGCAUGGUGCUAGGCUUGGGAGCUCCAAGCCCUGCGGUCUGGCCAGGAGGUCACUCAGGGGCAGCUUCACUCCUCUGCGAGCGACACAGAGCUGGCCCAGGCAGGAAGCACAUGGAGCUGCAUCUCCCUGAGGACACAGGGAGCGAAUACCAUGGUGAAGCAGAAGCCCGAUGGAAGGACGGGGCACUGGGGUCUGUGCCAGACUAGCCAGAGGGUCUGGGCCAGAGAAGCGCCUUCUGGGGUGUUCCCCCAGGCCCUACAACAUGGGCCAAUUCCAUCAGUGCCAUCAGUGCCAUUUCCAGGGUGCUGGGUCAUGGCCCCCAGCAGAGUCCUUGGCAGAAUGUUCUGGAACCAUGCAUCCCUCAGCUCUUUUAUUGGCUUCUCUCCUACCUUUUCAGGAAAACUUAAGAUCUUUUUAAAGGGAAAGUUAGCAUUUUUCAAGAGCUUGUUGUUCCCUGUCUAGAUUUAACUCACUGUUCCAGAAUCUUCCAUGCUCUUGAAGCCUGAAUAAGCCACUUGUCUACAGCAUGGAAGCUCAGCCUGCCUCAAAUCUGUUUUUGUUCUUUCCUAGGACAUUUGACUAGAGCGUCUCCAUCCUGUUGCUUCUUUAAAAAAUUCCACAGGCUCGCUUUUUUCUUAUAAUAAACAUGGCCCCGUUCAUUGUAGAGACUUUGAAAACAUAAGAAGAAAAACAAAAGGAAAUAAAAAUUACCCCGAAUCCUAUGAGCAGUUUUAGUUUUUUCACGACGUUAUGAUCAUUUCUCUGGAAAGUGCUUGAAAAACACUAUUUCCGUUGAAUUCUACUAUAUCCUAAGGACAUAAGGACAUACCUAGUUUAUUCUAUGUUUUCCCACGUCUGUGUGUCUUUCUGUGUUGAGCUGGCCCUAUGGCCCCUCUGCCUUAGGGAUCUGUGUUUGCCCCUGGGGUUAAGUCUUCAGAGUAGAUUCUUGGUAGGGUCACCACGCCAAAGGCGUAGAAAGUCUGUGGCGUCUUCCUGCCCCUUGCCGCCACAUACGGUCAGAUUGCUCUCCAACAUGUGCCAAUGAACCAAUUUGUCUCAGCGGGUGCCCCUCCCCCACCGUUGAGACUUGAGAGUGAAACACGAAUCCCUGGGUGUGGUAGUUGGCUUUCCUCUGACAGUUGGUA
Molecule: RNA transcript, 4195 nt
Organism: Neogale vison (American mink)
Lineage: Eukaryota; Metazoa; Chordata; Mammalia; Carnivora; Mustelidae
Gene: ZFYVE28
Gene name: zinc finger FYVE-type containing 28
Exons: 10
Source: RefSeq, a predicted model, not a curated record